UGGGGAAUAUUGCACAAUGGGCGCAAGCCUGAUGCAGCCAUGCCGCGUGUGUGAAGAAGGCCUUCGGGUUGUAAAGCACUUUCAGUCGUGAGGAAGGUAGUGUAGUUAAUAGCUGCAUUACUUGACGUUAGCGACAGAAGAAGCACCGGCUAACUCCGUGCCAGCAGCCGCGGUAAUACGGAGGGUGCGAGCGUUAAUCGGAAUUACUGGGCGUAAAGCGCAUGCAGGUGGUUUGUUAAGUCAGAUGUGAAAGCCCGGGGCUCAACCUCGGAAUAGCAUUUGAAACUGGCAGACUAGAGUACUGUAGAGGGGGGUAGAAUUUCAGGUGUAGCGGUGAAAUGCGUAGAGAUCUGAAGGAAUACCGGUGGCGAAGGCGGCCCCCUGGACAGAUACUGACACUCAGAUGCGAAAGCGUGGGGAGCAAACAGG
Molecule: ribosomal RNA, 429 nt
Filed under: uncultured bacterium
Lineage: Bacteria
Description: bacterial SSU rRNA
Rfam family: Bacterial small subunit ribosomal RNA
Source: RNAcentral